AAUUAUGUCCAUACCAACUUAAUAGUCCUCAAUCUCACCUGAGCUUGGAGGUUGAGUAAGGCUAGACUUCAUUAGUAUUUGGAUAGGAGACUACUGGGGAAUACCAGCUGCUGGAGGCU
This 119-nucleotide ribosomal RNA is filed under the name Notamacropus eugenii (tammar wallaby). The record is from RNAcentral. Lineage: Eukaryota; Metazoa; Chordata; Mammalia; Diprotodontia; Macropodidae.